Molecule: long non-coding RNA, 702 nt
Organism: Xenia sp. Carnegie-2017
Lineage: Eukaryota; Metazoa; Cnidaria; Anthozoa; Malacalcyonacea; Xeniidae
Exons: 2
Source: RefSeq, a predicted model, not a curated record
ACCGACCAACGAAAAAGCAGAUUUUGCCAUUUUAUGAUAUGCGAUCGAUAUCCACAAGUUUGGAGUGAGGACAAGAUCAUGAAAGCUCUAUUCAUCAAAAUAAUCAUAUUCAGCAUAUGCUUUGUUUCCUGACCAGUCUCCCAAGUCAACACGAAGUUUAUUUCUCUUGGCUGAUGUUAGUCGGUAUAUUUUAUCCAAUCCAAGCCAGAAUUCAGAAGUAAGAUUACCAAAUCCUUGUGUAUAGUUUUUCCAAUUUCGAUAAAAGUCUACACUUCCAUCUUGACGUCUUUGAAACACAGUCCAACCUCCACCAGAUGUCUUCAUAUCACAGAAAACAUCGAAAUAACCCUGGCCAUCUGGAUCAAUUUGAUAAACUCCGUUCUUUUUUUUACCUUUUUUGUAAAGAUCUGCACAGUUUUUUCCCUGAAAAAAAGUUUUGUUAAAAAAGCUAUUGCAUUGUACGUCUUAUGGGUUUUGUAACUCAUUAAACCUAUACUACUAGCAAAUUGCUACACAGCUUUUCCGCGCAUAGAUCCAUUUUGCUAAAUAACUAUUUUGUACAUUAUAUACCGAAGUUGUUUUCGAUUAUAUAAACUCAACACAGUUUAAUUCAAUAGAAAAAAUUAACAAUAUAAAAUAGCAAGUUUUCAGAUAUGAGUAACUUUCAUAAUAACAUUUUAGAAUUCCUUAUAUGGUCAUAAA